Long non-coding RNA from Ziziphus jujuba (common jujube), 4129 nucleotides. RefSeq lists it as uncharacterized. NCBI's taxonomy places the organism in Eukaryota, Viridiplantae, Streptophyta, Magnoliopsida, Rosales, Rhamnaceae. The record is from RefSeq and is a predicted model, not a curated record. The transcript is spliced from 2 exons.
UUGAUAGAACAACAAAGAGGAUAAAAGUGAAACCAAAAAGGGAAAAAUCAAAGAACUAAAACAAGCAUGGUGAAGCAGUAAGGGUAUGUUUCAGUUUCCAGGAAAAAAUAUUCCACUCAAAAUGCAGCCAUCCAUCCCAAAGGAAGUCAAGAACCAUGAUUAGAACUACAGGUACACGGUCAACUUAAGGACGUCACUACAGAGCACUAAAUGCAAUUCGUGCUUUAGGAUCUUAACAUUAUAGCAUCCAGAAUAACACUAAAUUAAGGCCUCCUACUCUUAGAGUAUGCAAACAUAAGUUUUGUACACAUAAUGCAGCCACAAGCUCUUCUUGAAUCUUACAAUGACAUUCAGAAAGUAGAAUCCUUGUAUAGUACAAGCAUCUAACAAAUAUCUGAGGUAAUGCACCAAUGCUAUCAGAAAUUGAUUUUAAAUUGGAAAGAGUUUGCAGAAGCUCAUGUUAAGGACAACGAAAUUUAACAUCAUUUUAGUCUCCCUGAAAGAAUAUUAUACCUUUUGCCAGUUGGUGAAGACUCUUAGCCUCCCAAAUCAAGCCAAAAUAGGCUAAUGCAAUCUCAACAAAGAAUCAGCAAAAUUUUCUGGACUCUCAUUUGUGAACCUCUAGAACUUGUUGCACAUAGCAAUUACUUAUUUUCCUUGAACUACAUGUCAGGGCCAUGAAUUAAAGAGCUCAAAACAGCAGAAAAGGCUAGGAAGCCUCAUAGAAAAAGCAAUUUUAUUACAAACAACAUAUAAGUAAGCCUAAAAGCUUGGGGUGUAAAUGAUGUUUAUUUACGUAACAAAACAAAAUCAGAUAAUAUAAAAUAGAGGGGAGUUUAAAGUGAUUUUGAUACUAUAUGGGCAAUAAUCCAAAACAUUGGCUGUUUGCAUGUCAGCCUCUAAAUAUCAUGGUGUAAGUUGAUACACAUGGUGAGUGCACUUCCUAACCAUCCUAAACCAAUCCAGUCUCGUUUUCAAAUUCUGCUAGAACCUCUAAUGUAGGACAGGCGGGGAAGGAAAGAAAAUUGAAAAUUAAAAGAUAGGCUCCUGUAUCACACUAAAACAAUUUUAGAAAUCACUCCUAAAAUCCCUAGGCAUCACACCUAAGUUUGAUUUGCAUCAUACAAAACCAGAGAAAUAACUCACAGAAAAAUACUUGUAUUAUUAAUCAACUUUUCUAACAGAGUUACAAAGGCCCCUACUUAUAAUAAAACCACCUAACAAUGUUAGGAAACUAAAAUAAAAAGAAACCUAGUUAGAUAAGGAAACCAAAUAAUAUAACUUAAAAGGAAACUAAAAUAAUAAUAACUCUAAUUAAAUUAGAAAACUAAAUUAAACUAAAGCUACUAGGAUACUUGAAGGUCCCAAAUAAGCCCAUCUUGCCCUAGAUCAUGCCAAAUUAAAGAUUGGGCUUUAGAAUCUAGUUUUCCCGUCUUCUUUGAUAAGCUUUGAAAGGUUGUUUCCAUGUUGCAUCACCCUCAUUUUUAUUAAUUUAUUCUGCUAUACGUGCAAGUACCAUAACAUAUGACAGCAACCAUCCAGAACCUAAAAGAGAGCACAUAUGCAGACAUAUAAUUGUACUUCGAACCCCAUCACUCCAUAAUGAUAAUUCCUCAUGCUACCAAUGCAUCCUCACAUGUUAGUUAAACCUAACAUAAAAUAGCACUGUAAGAGGUUCAAUGAAGGAAGAUGCAAUUGGCCUCGAUACAUCAUAUACAAAGCUGGAAUAUAAAGGGCCAUACAUUAAAGGUACAGUACAACAUCCUAGAUAACAUAAAUGCCAAAAACCAUCAAUGAUACUAAUUUCAUUCAGAAUAGUAUCCACACAAAUCACAACUAGAAUUCUACUGAAAGCCAAAAACAUAAAUUCUACUUUUCAGUAUAUAACUAGACUGAAUGAUUUUAUAAUUGUUCUUUCCAAAAUUACCCCUCCCAAUUACAAAACAAAAACAUUCUUUGACUUGAACUCUUCAAUAAAAAGAGACGCUGCAAUUAAAAAAAUUGUUAAAAGUUUCAGCGGAAGAAUAAUUUAAGUGAAACCCAUCAUUGAUUGGGAAAGAAAAGGAACAUAAAUCUGAAAAGCUAGAUAAGAAUUUGAUGUGAUCGCUCCCUCCCCUUCAAUGAUAGCAGUGCCAUAACAGCUGCCUAUAUCACCUUCAAAGAUAUCAUCUCUCCCUCCCCUCAAACAACCAAGAAGAUGUGAAUCAAACCAUUAUAUCUCAUUCAAACCAUUAGUCAUAAAUCAUAAAUCCACUAGCCCAUAAGAGCCCUGCCGUUACCACAAUUCAUGUUAUUGUUACAAUUAUAAGUUACAGAUCCAGUUGAUCUUGAAAACAAGGAAAAUUAGAGAGAGAGAGAGAGAGAGGGACGAAGGGACAGAGGGAGACAAAGAGGCAUGAGAUAUCUAAUAAUCACCAAGACCAGGAAGGAAAAGUCACUUUUUGGAUUAUUGAGCAUCAAUGCAGCAUAAGCUGAGGUCACAGAAAUCCUAUCAAAUUUGAGAAUGGUAUAAGAUUUAGCUUUCAGCCAUCAGCUGAAUAAAUUUUUACAGGUAAAAUGGUUACAGACAAGAAAAUCUAUAGAACUCAACUUCAAUUUUUUGAAUUCUUAUUUUAUGUUUCCAAACACAAUUUUAUGCCCAAUUAAAUAUUGUGAAAGUAACGCCAUGAAAGAAGCAAGUUAAACCAAAACUAGUGCUAACAAGUGGAUUUUUAGUAAAUUCAGUGUGUAACAGUUACAGAAAUGUAAACAAAGCAUAUAAAACAUCUGGAAUCAUCUGAAGGGAAACUGAUUAGUAAUAUGUAUAUCCCAUUCCAUGAGUUAUUGAACUCUUAUUUUAUGUUUCUAAACAAAAUUUUAUGCCCAAUUAAAUAUUGUGAAAGUAAUGCCAUGAAAGAAGCAAGUUAAACCAAAACUAGUGCUAACAAGUGGAUUUUUAGUAAAUUCAGUGUGUAACAGUUACAGAAAUGUAAACAAAGCAUAUAAAACAUCCGGAAUCAACUGAAGGGAAACUGAUUAGUAAUAUGUAUAUCCCAUUGCAUGAGUUACAGAUAACUGAUAUAAUUAGCACACAUAACCACUAAACCCAAUUCUAUUUUGUCUGUCAGCUGCUUCUGCCUCUCUAAUAAUCUGAGCGAGCCAGAUCUCUUAGCUUGCUUCCUUUCUAAUUUUCUCAUGCCUCCAUGACUUUCACAGCCUCAAAUUUCAACCCUCCAUGUGCAUUCACAUUUCACACAAAGAAAACAAAAAAUAUCCAUACAUAGCAAGAUACAUAGAAUCUUUGUCAGCAAAUCUGACAGUCUUGAUCAUUUCCAUCUUCAGCUCCCUCAUAAAUCUUGCUCUCUGCACUCUUUAAAUUUUAUGUUAGAUUUUUAUUUCAAUUUGGUUGCUGAUUUAGCAUCUUAAAUUUGUGUUCUCAUUACUUCCCUUGGCUUUUCUCCAUUAUAGUUAUUGCGCUGUAUCAUAGAACAAACAGAAUAAACUAUCAAAAUUCUAACCAAUACUUCCUGUAUUGGAUUUUCACAUCUGAAUCAAUUCAGAUUGGAACUACAACUUUUAAUGCGAUCAUCACCACCACCAGUUAGGAUGGAACAAAUCUCAAAUACAGCAGUUUCGUACCAAUGCACAAUCCUAGGUGAAAAUUUAAUCAUCAUAAUUUCUCAACAUCAGCCUUCGAUGUUUCCAAACUACAAAGUCUUAAACUUAAAAGAAACUAUAAAAUCACAACAAAUUAAAGCCCAAAAAUUGUCUUAAAAGAGAUAGAUAUUCAUAAAUGGAUAAAUUCCCUGUUGGCCACUGAGCAGGAAGGUAAAAAGUAAUCAAUGAGAGGUAAAAUUACAACAGCUCGAAAAGAGGGAUAUUCAUAAAUACAUAAGCUCCCUUUUCCUGCCCCACUGGCAAUGAGUGCUUGAUCAAAUACUGAAUAAGAAAAACCAAAGACAACCCAAAAAAUACAAAAGCAUUCCCACAAUUAAAACGAUAGAUAAAUAUAAAUUCCAGUGCAAAUGACACCAUUGAAGCCCGAUUAGCUUUCAUAACAAUGCCUAAUCUAUAUAUAUAAGAACCAAAACAUGAGCAUCCCACUUGGCAGAGAUUAACAAAAUCAAACAACAACAGAAACCAAUUUCUC